CAGUCGCCGCGGGAAUACGGAGGGUGCAAGCGUUAAUCGGAAUUACUGGGCGAAAAGCGCACGCAGGCGGUUUGUUAAGUCAGAUGUGAAAUCCCCGAGCUUAACUUGGGAACUGCAUUUGAAACUGGCAAGCUAGAGUCUUGUAGAGGGGGGUAGAAUUCCAGGUGUAGCGGUGAAAUGCGUAGAGAUCUGGAGGAAUACCGGUGGCGAAGGCGGCCCCCUGGACAAAGACUGACGCUCAGGUGCGAAAGCGUGGGGAGCAAACAGGAUUAGAUACCCCUGUAGUCCCUGUCUCUUAUAC
Molecule: ribosomal RNA, 301 nt
Filed under: uncultured bacterium
Lineage: Bacteria
Description: partial 16S ribosomal RNA
Rfam family: Bacterial small subunit ribosomal RNA
Source: RNAcentral